Molecule: non-coding RNA, 104 nt
Filed under: unclassified sequences
Description: c-di-GMP sequence
Rfam family: c-di-GMP-II-GAG riboswitch aptamer
Source: Rfam by way of RNAcentral
AGCGGGUAGGGACGCGAAGAUGUCGGACUGCGAGAAGCGGUCGCCCCCGGGACCUACACCCGGGCGGUCCGACGGAGCGAGUGGCGAGACCGGCCCUGUGGACA